AAUUGAAUAAUAAUAAUUAACAUUUACAUGCAACUAUUACAAGAUAUGCAAUAGUUUUUUUCUGCAUUUUUUUUCCGUAUUUCAUUCUUUAUUCAGGGCGUACCCUAAUUGCAAGAAGAGAGGAG
This 125-nucleotide non-coding RNA is filed under the name uncultured eukaryote. The record is from RNAcentral.